Molecule: long non-coding RNA, 4551 nt
Organism: Pomacea canaliculata
Lineage: Eukaryota; Metazoa; Mollusca; Gastropoda; Architaenioglossa; Ampullariidae
Exons: 4
Source: RefSeq, a predicted model, not a curated record
CCGCCACAUAGUAAAGUUUUUUCAUUAAAUGCACGGGCUGCCCGCGAGAAGGAGAGAGGCCGGAGACAGUAAAAGAAGAACGGGGUAAAUAAAUAAGGGGCAACUCCGCUGUUACAAGACGAGCGCUUGGAGUUACGAGGAGAGGCGAGCUGGAAAAGGGCCCAUAAACUGCGUUUACUGCCCUCGUAGCGCGCUAUUAAAAAAGUAAGGGUCGGGAAUUUUAUGUCCUGUAUCAUAAAUCCAUCAGCUGAAGCCAGGGACUCAAUAGCGGCCUGAUCAGUUGCUACCAGACUGCCGAGCAGACAACACACGCUCGCCACUGCCUGCAGAACAGAUUUCAAAAAUCAACCACGCUCGGUUUUUUUGUUGUGUGUGUUUCUCCGAGAUCCGACGAGCUUUGUGCUUUGCCGCUAUACCACAACCAUCUGAGGUCCACUGCAACGACUGGAGGACGUGAGACCUUCGGGUGCGUCCUUGCCACCCGCUUUGCAAAUGUGAGUGUGGUGGUGUGCUUUAUUUCCGGCUUCUUGUGUGUGAUUACGAGCCAACCAUCAACAUCUGUGUCAUUUUUCUGCCAUCAUUUAAAUCAGGAGAGAAGGAAGAAAAAAAAAUCACCAUGUUACUGGAGGGUGAGAUAUCGAGGACUACUGGGAAAGUAAGUGUACUGUUCUUCACGCUCAUCUCUCAGAAGGUGGUGCUUCCACUGCUCGAAGACUCGCCACCAUUGUUCAUGCAUACAACAAUUUUUUCUUCAACCCUUCUGUGAAUGUGUGCAAAUCACCACAUGUCACAGGUGACAUUAGUUUUCUCACACACCACACACAAAAGGUUACCUGGAAAUAAGGAGUUUCUAAUUCGCUGUUCAAGAACCUGAUCUGGAAAGAUGGGGGACUGCAUCGUUUACCGGAUAAUACACGUGCAGCAGCAGCAGCAGCAGCAACAACAACAACAGCAGCGAAAGCUAGUGACAAAGAUGGGUGUCACAGGUGUGAGAUGGUCUUUAGUACGAGUUUCCUGAUCGCGGGAAGAUGAAGUUAAUUGACUGAGAGCUGACCUUUAGCAAGUUCCCUCUCUGGACUUUGCAACGGGCUAAACCGGUAAAACCGCAUGGAUGGAAAUAGGCUAACGAUAAACUUAUAAACAUUGUGAGGAGAAGAUGCUAUCAGGUCACACACUCAAAUACUGAAAAGAUUAUCUGGCAUCGUGAAAAUCUGCCAAACAACAACAGCAGCAACAACAACAACUAACAGUUUAAAAAAAUCAGGAAAAAGUAUACAUUUCUUUCCGAAAUAAAAUCAUUAAAAACCAGGCAAGCAAGUUUGUAAUUUUCCCCCUGAAAUUUAUGACCAAUGCAUAUUUUAUGCAACUAAGUGAAAUAACUACUCUGAACCAUACCGGUUUGAACCCUGCUGCAUUUUCUCCCAAUGGAGGCAAGAAGAUACAAUAUAGUUACAGCAGUUGUCCAGACGAAUAUCCAGCCAAGACUUGACCCCAUCGUUGUCACAGCUGUAUCGCAACUUAAAUAAGACUUAAAGGUAAACAUUCUAUUGAAAACAAUCAAAUGUAAAUACCUCUAAGGACAAUAUCAACAAAACUUAAAGGUAAAUCAUUCAACAUAUACAGAACUUGAAGGUAACUAACUAUCCUCUUGAAAAUAAAAACAAGAGAUUUCCUUAGGCAAAAUGUAUUGACGACAUAAACACGACUCUAAAUUAUCUUAGUGUAAUAAUAAUUCUAAUUAUAACAUACUAAAACAACAAUAAUAGCAACAAUAUAAACCGUUCUCUUGACAACAUAACAAAACAAAGGUCAAAUGAGAUCAUGAAUGGUUCGCAGCUGGUUGUGGCUCACAAUAAUCGAAACCUUUUUUUUUUGAAAGUGUAAAAGCUUCCGCCAUUCUUUGCAGUCUGCUUAGCAGUUUCUUGUGGUUCACCGAGAAAUUUCUACCAAGCCUACAAGAUGGAUGGAUGAGAACAAUAAUUUGCAUAUGUUUUAAGCUCUCUAGUGGCCUCCCUUGACAACGGAAGCAUUUUGCCAUACUACAACGACAUCACGGUGCUGACCGAACAAGAAUGCUGAUAUUUGAAGAUUGUUAUCUCAUGACAGGAAAGUGCUCCUCCUUCUAAGUUUUAUUUUUGUCUUAUGAAGAAGCAAGAUUGUCUUCUUUUAUUUCUAAAAUGUAUAACGACGACGAACACUUUGAAUACAGUUACGACGGUGCUAAACAUUUAUACCAAUCCCCCUCUCCUCCAAAAUUGGAAGAAAAUAAAAGGAUGAAGUGAGGGAGAAUGUGUGAAAGAAGGAUUAUCAAAAGCAAGAACUACUUUGUCUUAAGACUUGGAUUCUAUAACUGAAUCCUUUUCCGACUUAUUUUGAGUUACUAGUACAACUUUUGCGUGUUUGGAAGCGAUUGUUGUUAGAUUCGUCAAACAAAACGUAGGCUAGCAGUGCGCAUGCGCGUAAGUAGCGGAACUGUGCACAAUGCUCGACUCCCAAGACGUGUUGGAGGGCAAGCAUCUCUCCUGCCCAGCGUCUCCUCCUCCCGCAAGGUCAGCACGGCGUCUGCUAGUUAAUCACUUUCUGUAUCUCCUUACCCACCCUGGCUCCGGGGCGCGCAUCCCCCCACAGGGCUUGCACCGUUAAUCAGCUGCACGUGCGGUUGUCAUGGCGACGGAACAGAGUAUCGCGACUUGACCCUCAGAAACGAACUGUGACGUCAUGAUCACACACGCUCGGUUCUCCAGGGUAAAGCCACUCACACUCUCACGACCAUGAUCCCCCCGGAAUCCACACCCGGAUUCGAACUCUCAGGCAAAAGGGACCUGGAUGAAGGGAUAACAAUAAUUCAACCAAGGGCUGUCAGGGCUGGGGAGGGAUGGGAGAAUAAAGGGAAGCAAGGGAUGGGUGGGUAAGUUGAGGAAAAGGACAAGAGAGUUCGAAUGUUGGGAGUGGAAAACGGGUACGGGUACUCUUGCAAGCUAAAUGUGUCUAUAUGUGUGCGAGCGCGCUGCUUAUAUAUGUUGGGUGAGUAUACUAUUUCUAUUAAUACUACUACUGUAAAUCAUACUGCUAAUAAUAACAACGUACAUUUAUAUAGUCUACAUUAUUUCUUACAAAAGUGUGGGAAUGUUUUAAGGAUCAUCCAUUAAAAAAGUAAACUAAAAAAAAACAACCAACAAACAAACAAACACAAAAAAAACAACAACCAAAAAGCGAAAAAAAACAAACAAACAAACAAAAACAAACUCAUAUGAAGUUCAGAUCACUAAAAGUAAAAACUUCAUAUAGUCUUUCUUUCUCUCUCUCUGAACCUUGUACACUGUAACGGCAAUGCUUAUUCACCUGCACGUGCGCUCUUCGCCGAGUUCAAGUACGCACGUGCACAAUACUGUUCUUAUCUUUCCUUACCUGAGGGCAUAGAGAGAUUAAGGGGACUUAACUCCCGCUGACGCGAGGUGAGGCCAUCAGCAGAUUUGUGCGCAUAUCCAACACACACGGCGUAGACACACUUUAUGGGGUUAUGCAUAUGCAUGCGCACAAAUAAAUUGCGCGCGCGCGCUCCCUCACCACCGAGCAUGCCAGCAUCGUUGCCAGAUCGGACAGCACCUCAUCAAUAAGCGAUAAACCGCUGGGCGGCUGAGCUUGGCGCUUUCAUACUGUGCGUCACUUCCGGUGUAUCGUCUGGGACGUUAUCAGCCAGCGGGAAAGGGGAGCUUACCCUCCUCUACCGGCGGCGGUCGGGGUGUCUGUCCAAAGAGAUAUCCUUUGAGACAUUUUGAAAUAUCAGUAUAAUUCUUACAUAAAUUACCUCCCUUGCUUCAUGUUCCCGCCACUUGUCCCCAAGAUCAGUUGACCUUUACGCACUUGUCUUUCCACAUUUUUUAAUGUUUUAGAUGGAUUUUCUCAUGUAAAAUCCAUUUUUUCUGUUUUAUUUAACAAUCGUUAUUUCUGACAUUUUUUAUUAAUUUUAAUUUGAAGACGCCUAUUUUUGUUGCUGCUAUUAAUAGUUACAGCAGUUUAAUUAACCGAUAUUUUCACAAAUAAAAAAUUAGUUUAUAAAGUUCCUUUAAAACACAAUACAAUUCUAAGACAUCUCCAAUUAAAUAAAAUUAAUUUAUGAGCCAAAGACUUAUUUUGUAAUGUAAAAUGUAAUUAGCACCUCUGGCAGCACCAGACAACAUAUCCCUUCCUCACGUGCGACAAAGGACCUUGUUAUUUAUUCAUUCCCUCAUUUACUCCUCUAACUGUUUACCGUGGUUGGGGAGUGACCCUGCCCAGGCACUGACCCUGCUUCAUGCUGCUGCGCUUGCCGAGCGUUCAAUAGUCGCGGGGAUGAUGGAGGGCUGAGUGCAGCUCAGCCGCCGCCGAGAGGUGAUGUGUAUAGAUUAGCGCCUGCCAGAGGGUCGGCCGCUGAUUGGUUAAUAAGAAUGUCAAUUACAGAGUUCAGUGAUUGCGUCAGGGUGCAGACAAAAUGGCCUUACUAGCUAACAAGUGCACAGCCUGUAAUUCAACGCCAGGGACAACUCGUACAUCAUGUUUAUGCAUUAUUCC